CAAAAAACGAUGACGGGGAAGAAGGUUGUGGGAAUUGCUCAGCGAGCCGGGGGACGGUGCAAGCCCGGCCAAGGAAACAGCCGGGCCGCCCCGGAGUGCAAGCCGAAACAACAGUAAGCUUUGCCGGUUCUUCACCGUUACAGAAGUCCGAGUGGGUUGCCGCCGUCAUGUACCGGCAGCCAAUGAGGGUGGUACCACGGAUACUAAAACUCCGUCCCUUUA
RNAcentral lists this non-coding RNA (222 nucleotides) under Desulforamulus putei. RNAcentral describes it as "Desulfotomaculum putei T-box sequence". It matches the Rfam family "T-box leader". From Rfam's summary of the family: Uncharged tRNA acts as the effector for transcription antitermination of genes in the T-box leader family. T-boxes are found upstream of many aminoacyl-tRNA synthetase genes and some amino acid biosynthetic genes usually in Gram-positive bacteria. The anticodon of a specific tRNA base pairs to a specifier sequence within the T-box motif, and the NCCA acceptor tail of the tRNA base pairs to a conserved bulge in the T-box antiterminator hairpin. The record is from RNAcentral. Lineage: Bacteria; Bacillati; Bacillota; Clostridia; Eubacteriales; Peptococcaceae.